Molecule: long non-coding RNA, 1922 nt
Filed under: Homo sapiens (human)
Lineage: Eukaryota; Metazoa; Chordata; Mammalia; Primates; Hominidae
Description: HSALNT0379863
Source: RNAcentral
GAGAUCUACAGGAGAACUCAGGGCGGAUGUCUGCCGGGUGCGCGUUGGGCUUUCUGGUCGCUUCUCUGCGAACGCGCGCUUGUUCCUGCGGCGGUGCCUGCCUGUGUCGUCGUCCCUGUUUGUUCUUCUUCAAACCUCAGGAUUUCUCCGUGUUUCCCAGACCGUAACGUUCCAAAGGUGGAAACACAGAUGACAGAUUUUUGGUCUUUUCGUCAUUUCCUAUAUAUGUGUUCAAUGGUUUAGAAUAGUUCACCAGUGAAGUCAUCUCAACCAGCACAGGGCCUUGACUCCUAACAACAAUCACACGAACUUGGAAGAGGAGCCUUCCCCAACUGAACCUUCGCUUGAGACCUCGUCCUUGGCCAUCCUCUACAUCUGGAUUCAUGAUACAGAGAAACUUGAGUAAUGAUGACACUAGCAGUCCAGCCUGCAUGGAUGCUGACAUGGAUGCUGUCUCCCAUUCUUACCACUGGAUGGGAAGAAAUGCUAGAUGCAAUCCAGCCAGUCUGUACUCGACUGUCAGUUCCAUCUUCUCAACUCACAGUGUCUUCCAAAGUCCGUGCCACACCACAGCCUGGAACAUCUCCCAAGGUUUCAAAUAAUUCAUCAGUGAAUUCUUCUCAACCUGGUCAAUCAUGUGAACUUAGAAGAUGAUUCCUCCCCAGCUGAUCCUCAGGUGAGACAUCAGCCUUGGCCAUCAUCUACAUCUGGAUUCCUGACCCAGAGAAACUGGAACACUAAGACCCAUUCUUCUUCUCAAGUAUCCAAAAAUAAAGUUGAUCCAAGUAAGAAGUGGACAGCAUAAAAGAUUGUAUGGAAGCUAUAAUGCAUCUACAUCUGCAGUAACUAAUCAUAAAAUGAUUUGUAUGAUCAUUCUUCACAUGAUUAGAAUUACUAUGGGAAAGAAGAAAAAGAAAUGCCUCUCUGGAUGGUGACUAUAACCUAUAGCCUUGCCCAAUAUGACUCAGGAUUUGGUACUGGCUGUGCCUUUCAUGGGAUGCUUACUUAUCCUGGUCGAUGGCCUAAAGCCCAACCGUCCAGCUUAUAUCCAGGGAUAAACUCAGCCUGCGGGGCCUCAGGAAGAAGGUCGUAGCCAUUUCAUUGAGUCCAGGGCAGAAAAGUGGAAGAAAAAUGUGAAUGUGUUAAUUUGAGGACUUUAGCUCUGAGAGGUUUCAGGAUUCAGUCCAAAAUGCAGAAAACAAUAAAAAGCUCAAAAACAAUGGACAAGACUAGAAUCUAACAACAGGGUCUCAAGCCACCCAGGCUGGAGUGCAGUGGCACAAUUAUGGCUCACUGUAGCCUCACCUUCCUGGGAUCAAGCAAUCUUCUUUCUUCAGCCUCCAGAGGAGCUGGGACCACAGAUCCUUUGGCAUUUGAGAGUUGCUUUGUGUAUACGGUCCUUUAACGGAGCAAAUGGCCAGCCAGGAAACCAAAGUAUGGACAAGGGGAAAGAAGCGUCUGUGGAGGAAGUUUUACAAGCGCCCUCCUCAUCCAUUUGGGUGGUGUUGCCCAUAUGCUACAUGUCUGUGGACCACUAUGUGUGUUUAAAGCUUUUUAGUAAAACGUUACUAAAAACUAUGACUCACUGUGGUGAAAAAGGUGGCAAAACAGUGACAACACAACACGGAGAUGCAUUGACACCCUUCUUCAAUCCAGAGGAUGGGCCAUCAACUCACAAAAGUACAAGGCCUGGAACCAGCUGCAAAGUUCCUAUGGAUCACUUGGCCAGGUCUAAAUUUAUUUAGCAGAAAUAGAAUGGAACACAUGAAAAGGAGAAAAAAUGUACAUUUUUUCAAGAUAAUUUUCAGACUUUGCAAACAAUUAUAUUGUAUAAGUGAAUAAAACCAAAUCAGAGUAAUAAAGAUAUGUAAUUGGGCUACAUAGAUGGAGAUUUACAAUACACUGGAAACGGAGAGAGAAAG